Molecule: long non-coding RNA, 574 nt
Organism: Thalassophryne amazonica
Lineage: Eukaryota; Metazoa; Chordata; Actinopteri; Batrachoidiformes; Batrachoididae
Exons: 3
Source: RefSeq, a predicted model, not a curated record
CAGAAAUUUUGAGCAUUUAACAAAAUGAACACAUUUCUUUGCACACAGCUCAUGCAGUUUAUGGGUUUACUGUCUGGCACGCAGCGGGCAUCAAAUUCGUGCAAUUGACAAGGUGGCUUAAGAUUCCUUGCGAGGAAUCUUUAGGCUAAGUUGGGAGCUCUCUGAGAGGACUGUGCGAUGCUUUAUGAAUACGGGCUCAGGUCUUUGCUGUUUGGACCCAGAUAUCAGAGUCCUCUUUUAAAUGGACCUUUCUAAACUUUUGAACCUGGUGUCAUCAUUUUGUAUUCAUUUUAAGUUUUGAUUGUUUUCAUAAGGUGUUACAGGAAUAAAUAUUUUCUGCCACUUUUGUGAUUUCUUUCUUUCUGAGUAAACGUCUAUCGGGCAGUGGAUGGUCCUGGAAUGGGAUGAUGAUCUGACUGAAGUGACCGAUAGCAGUCUGAGCUGACAGUGAACCACGACGGAGUUUUAGGGCCACACUGAAUUUCUUUUUGUUUUUCUUUUUUUUGGACUUCGAGAAUAAAGUCGUAAUAUUACAAGAACAAAGUCGUAAUAUUACGACUUUAUUCUCGUAAAA